AGUCGAGCGGUAACAGGAAUUAGCUUGCUAAUUUGCUGACGAGCGGCGGACGGGUGAGUAACGCGUAGGAAUCUGCCUGGUAGUGGGGGACAACAUGUGGAAACGCAUGCUAAUACCGCAUACGCCCUACGGGGGAAAGGAGGGGAUCUUCGGACCUUUCGCUAUCAGAUGAGCCUGCGUGAGAUUAGCUAGUUGGUGGGGUAAAGGCUCACCAAGGCGACAAUCUCUAGCUGGUCUGAGAGGAUGAUCAGCCACACUGGGCCUGAGACACGGCCCAGACUCCUACGGGAGGCAGCAGUGAGGAAUAUUGGACAAUGGGGGCAACCCUGAUCCAGCCAUGCCGCGUGUGUGAAGAAGGCCUUAGGGUUGUAAAGCACUUUCAGGAGUGAGGAAGGGUGUACGGUUAAUACCCGUAUAUUUUGACGUUAACUCCAGAAGAAGCACCGGCUAACUCUGUGCCAGCAGCCGCGGUAAUACAGAGGGUGCGAGCGUUAAUCGGAAUUACUGGGCGUAAAGCGCGCGUAGGCGGUUUGUUAAGUCGGAUGUGAAAUCCCAGGGCUCAACCUUGGAAUGGCACCCGAUACUGGCAGGCUAGAGUACGGUAGAGGGGUGUGGAAUUUCCUGUGUAGCGGUGAAAUGCGUAGAUAUAGGAAGGAACAUCAGUGGCGAAGGCGACACUCUGGACCGAUACUGACGCUGAGUGCGAAAGCGUGGGGAGCAAACAGGAUUAGAUACCCUGGUAGUCCACGCCGUAAACGAUGUCUACUAGCCGUUGGGAAUUUUAUUUUUAG
Molecule: ribosomal RNA, 791 nt
Filed under: uncultured Marinomonas sp.
Lineage: Bacteria; Pseudomonadati; Pseudomonadota; Gammaproteobacteria; Oceanospirillales; Oceanospirillaceae
Description: bacterial SSU rRNA
Rfam family: Bacterial small subunit ribosomal RNA
Source: RNAcentral